UCAGAAAUACUUCAUGAGCAA
This 21-nucleotide non-coding RNA is filed under the name Caenorhabditis elegans. The record is from RNAcentral. Lineage: Eukaryota; Metazoa; Nematoda; Chromadorea; Rhabditida; Rhabditidae.